This is a long non-coding RNA of Amphimedon queenslandica, 334 nucleotides long. RefSeq lists it as uncharacterized. The transcript has 3 exons. NCBI's taxonomy places the organism in Eukaryota, Metazoa, Porifera, Demospongiae, Haplosclerida, Niphatidae. The record is from RefSeq and is a predicted model, not a curated record.
UAGGAGGUUGAUGCUCCUUUGAGCGAUAAGACUGCCUCUACUAAACCAAAACCGGUUUCAAAACUCGACAAACAGGUUCAGGAUUUGAUUAAUUUGAUUUGUGACGUAAAGUCGAUGGAAGAAGUUAUAAAAGAAAUGAAAUAUGACGUCAAAAAGGCACCAUUAGGUAAACUCACUAAGGCACAGAUAAAGUCAGGAUAUGCAGCACUGAAGAAGAUUGAGGGUUUAAUACAAUCUGGUAAAACUAGCGGGGACCCUCUCUUCAAGGCUUGUGAUGAGUUUUAUACAAGAGUACCUCAUGACUUCGGUAUGAGGAGACCUCCAUUAAUAACCA